Molecule: long non-coding RNA, 1123 nt
Organism: Dreissena polymorpha
Lineage: Eukaryota; Metazoa; Mollusca; Bivalvia; Myida; Dreissenidae
Exons: 8
Source: RefSeq, a predicted model, not a curated record
GGUUUGUGUCCAUUCUACACAGUCCAUGUUUCUAUUAAAGUAGGAAGUGUUUGAGUAGUCUGAGGUGUUAAGACGGUAGAAGAGACACAUCAACAGUUUGUGAUUAAAGCUGUGUACUUUUUUACAAUAUCCCAAACAGAAGAAAGUAACGAAAUAUGGAUUUUUUCAAGUAUUUCAUAACCAUUUGGAUCGUGACUUCAACUUGUAUAACAGGUAUUGCAGAUGUCAGUUCUUGUAACAGUACUCUGUCUACAGAUAAUAAUGCAUUCGGUCUAGGAACAAAUGUUACAUUGAAGUGUGUAGUGUGCCCUGGUUCUUCGGAAAUCAAAUUUAAACACAACGAUAGUGAUAUUGCAGUUCAUUCAUUGGAUACCCAAGUAACUAAUCCUACACUACACGGCGUUGCUGUAAAUGAUCUGGGCAAUGGAUCAAAGGAGAUGAAACUGACAAUAUUAAACUUCACGCAAUCCUCUAAUGGUGUUUAUUCCUGUUCUACAAGCUCAACGGAUGUUGCAUCGCUUAAUAUAGCAUACACAGUAUCGACCACACCAGGAUCCGCAGAUGGUACCUCAACAUCCACCCAAAGUACAAUUGCCACAACCUCAACAUCGACCGAAAGUAGUACUACCAAAACGCUGAGCAUAGGUGGGAUUAUUGGAAUUGUCAUUGGAUGCCUUGCCUUGCACUGGUAUGCAUUGGAGCAAGCAUCUUGAUAUAUCUCAAACAUACAGGCAUACGGAUUAGCAGCCAUCAGAUCAACGGUUAAGAAAAAGAAAGAACCCAUCAACAUUGACGUGUGUUUUCUAAAAACUGAUACACGCAUUUUUAUUAUUACAACACAAUUCAUGCACUCUCCAAAUAUAUCGGUUAAUUAUUUAAGAUAACAACUUCGAUGUUAAGAUCUAAUAAUGAUAUUACAUUAUGCCCAUAAACUAUUGCUACUUGAUUUUGAACUACACUCAUAGAUGUGAGUAGAUACUGACUUUUGAGAAAAAACAUACACUUUCUUUUAUGAUAUAUAUGUUAAAUAGUGUCAAUUAUCUCUACUGGUAUAAGUCGUUUGCUUUGAUAAAUGGUUUCUCAAUAUUAUUCAGAGUGUUAUUAAAUUAUAACAAAAAACUAA